UGGAUUCAAAAAAGCAAUAAUUUCCAUGCAAAUACUUUGUAUUUUCCAUAGAUUUCCAUCAUAUUAAAGAGGAUACGGCGAAAAAUCUCCACUGCAAGCACUGGUUUGGCAAAACAUUUGGGACAUUGCAGCACUGAGAACAUUAAGCCACAGACAGAGUACUCUGUCUAGGAGAGAAGAAAACUCUUCAGAUACAGCCUGGGUUGUGAUAGACUGCAAGAAACCAAACAUGACCCUCUCCAUUAGAUAACCCAGCAGUACAGACCGAGUGACUUCCCCAAUAGCCAGAAACUGACCAGUUUAGCAAGUGUAGAAAAGAGAUGUGAAGUGUUGCUGCCUGUUCCCCGCUGUAGCGUGGCAGCAGUAAAGCACUGGUGGUAAGUACUGAGCAGUAAUCUGGAGGUGAAAGAAACGCACACCUGUUUAGGCGAGGUGCUGGCUGGUGGAGUAGAACACCUGUUUAGGCGAGGUGCUGGCUAGCGGAGUAGAACACCUGUUUAGGCGAGGUGCUGGCUGGCGGAGUAGAACACCUGUUUAGGCGAGGUGCUGGCUGGCGGAGUAGAACACCUGUUUAGGCGAGGUGCUGGCUGGCGGAGUAGAACACCUGUUUAGGCGAGGUGCUGGCUGGCAGAGUAGAACACCUGUUUAGGCGAGGUGCUGGCUGGCGGAAUAGA
Molecule: long non-coding RNA, 674 nt
Organism: Oncorhynchus keta (chum salmon)
Lineage: Eukaryota; Metazoa; Chordata; Actinopteri; Salmoniformes; Salmonidae
Exons: 4
Source: RefSeq, a predicted model, not a curated record